AAAUGUAGACACACAGGUGAUCAACUUUGACGCGCCGGCGCGUAAUGUGUCUGAGCAAAAUCAAACAUGAUGCGGAAUUAUCCCAGUGGCAGUUCUUAGGGGAAGACAGAAAAACACCAAUACAGCUGAAGUAAGCUAUAUUCAGGAGAGAGGAGUAGCAACAUGUUGGUCCAGUUAGCAGUUCUCGACAGGCAAACUGAAACAAGGAAUAUCAGUCAACCAGCCCUGCAGACAUUAACCUACAUGUUGACUCUGCAGAAGUGCCCAGAUCCUACACUUCACGGUCAUUGUUUAAAGUACAUGAGGAGAGAGCGCAUCUUGGCUGAUCUGUACAUUUCAUGUGAUUCGGCGCAUCAUGGUUCAUUAAAAAUUUGCAACAUAAUCAGUGUUCCCACGUUCAAAGCUGUGGAGGGAAGCUGUGCUGUGAGGAUCCUGGAUCCUGAUCAAGCAUCUAUGCUAAGGAUAUGUUUUUGCUAUGGACCACAGUGCCUGUUACCAUGACAACAAAAAGAAAUGUCCCUUCCUUCACUUCACCCAAGUGCUAUUCAACACUGAAACCAUCCUCUGCUCCUCUCUCCUCUGCUUCGAAGUUACUACUCACUUCUCUGCUCCCAGCAUCUUAGGCAGAUGUGGGGAAUAUACUGUGGCUGGUCUCCUGCAGACCAGUGACUGAAGACUGAUCACGUGACUAAUUGAGGUGUCAGCAAGAUCACUGCAUUGUUUCUAGUCUUUUUUUCAAGCGAGCUACCAUGGCAGCGACUGAGUAGCACUGACUGAAACAGAAUGAAUUGAGCUGCUAUUUACAAACACGUUAAAGUGGUGAGGCGCUCAGCGGUGACCCAGGCGUUAUUGUGCAUCAUGGUCUGAGGAAGUUGUGUAAGGAAACACUCCAUCUGACCUGCACUGAAGAGGUGAGGUGGAAAAAAGACAUCUGUUUGGUAUCUUCCACUGUAUUAGGCUCUUAACGGCAAAUAGACUUUUAUCCACCUUACCUUGGAGACGGCGUUGAUGACACAGAGAACUCAUACCUGCUGAGUACAGAUGCCAAAUGAGAUCUGGGCCUGUUUUGGAGCUUUGGACCUUUAACCUCCUUCUAUUCUCACACCUUGGAGUGUCAGAGACAGAUGAAGAGCUGUCAGAGGCUCUGUUCUGAGUGGAGUGCAGUUCUGAGAUUUGACAUUUUGACAAAGGUCUUAAAAAUAUUUGAACCCCAAAAGCCCCUGUUAUGGGGGAAACAAACAAAAGCAUAAACAUUCAAAUACUAUGCACAUGAGGGUUAAACAGUUCUUAAUAAAGCAUAAAGGCAUCGGACAGGAUCAAUUUCCUGUUUGUUUGUACUGUAUGUAAGCUGCGAGAAGCGAAACACAUUUGGAUUGAAUUCACCCUUAGGAUGGUCUUAUCAGAUUAAUAACAGUGUUUCUGACAACCCAAACUUUGAUUUCUUCUCAUUUGGUCUGCAAAUGAAACUUACAAGCUGCCUAAGCCUCCCCACUUCAAAGCAGCUGUUGGGCUGAGAGAUAUGUCUGAUGGUUUGAUGUGAGCUGGCUGAUUUAGGAUUGUACUGCUGAUUCUUCUGUCCUUCCCCAGCUCGCAGUUCCUCUCACUGUUUCUAAGAAUUGAACUUGGGGGUGACUGUGGGUAGAGUGGCCGUCUCCUAACCGGUUUGAAUCUCGGUGCCUGCAGGCCACAUGUCAAAGUGUCCUUGGGCAUUUAGUGUCAUUACGGCAAGACACUUUUACAUUGAUCUGUAUAGGUCUACCAGUUUGCGUCUCUAUAUAAGAGCAAUAUUGUAAAAUGCCUAAUCUAUCCGUGACAACACAUCUAUGCAGUGUCACUGACCAUCAAAUUUAAUAAAUUAAGAGCAAAAGGAGCAUGCCAGAGGAGUAAGCCCAAGGUCAGCGCCACUGGAUCUAAGUGCAGAAGCUGGUAAAUGGUCCCCUGGGGAGGUCACUGGCCUGAGUCAUGCUGUAUUUGUCUGGCCAAAGGCCUACUGACGUUUUCUGAAUGUAAAAGAACAGUUUGUCUAUAGCAGGAAGCACAAUUGUUGCUGACAACGUUUCCAUCCACAGCCCUGCGACAGGAGCAUUGUUUGUAAAGCAGCAGGCGGGUACCUUUUGGGACUAAGCUGAUUGGGUUUCAUGGGCCCGAAGAACAGCAGCAUCAGGUUUCCAUGAGGAAACAGUGAACGUCAAAUUCACUGGCAUGAAUGUAUGAGAGCAGCCUCUGACCAUGUGCUGAGAUAUUGUUGCCUGUCAGGUGUCGUCUUACACCACUGAAUGAUGGGGUCUUUUCCUAGAACGCAGUAGCAGGCUCUGACAGAAGCCAUGACAAGUGUGGAGCUAAGAAGACAGUGCUGUGGCAGCACUCUGACCUGUUUUCUUCUGUUUCUAUGUUCCAUAUAUAAUUAAACUAAGAGUAUUACACUGUCAUUCCACACAAAAUACACAG
Monopterus albus (swamp eel) is the source of this 2448-nucleotide long non-coding RNA. RefSeq lists it as uncharacterized. The transcript has 3 exons. Lineage: Eukaryota; Metazoa; Chordata; Actinopteri; Synbranchiformes; Synbranchidae. The record is from RefSeq and is a predicted model, not a curated record.